UACGAAGGGGGCUAGCGUUGCUCGGAAUUACUGGGCGUAAAGCGCACGUAGGCGGCUUUCUAAGUCGGGGGUGAAAUCCUGGAGCUCAACUCCAGAACUGCCUUCGAUACUGGAAAGCUCGAGUCCGGGAGAGGUGAGUGGAACUGCGAGUGUAGAGGUGAAAUUCGUAGAUAUUCGCAGGAACACCAGUGGCGAAGGCGGCUCACUGGCCCGGUACUGACGCUGAGGUGCGAAAGCGUGGGGAGCAAACAGG
This 253-nucleotide ribosomal RNA is filed under the name uncultured bacterium. Its description in RNAcentral is "partial 16S ribosomal RNA". It matches the Rfam family "Bacterial small subunit ribosomal RNA", at positions 524 to 776 of the family's 1533-position model. The record is from RNAcentral.